Molecule: ribosomal RNA, 405 nt
Filed under: uncultured prokaryote
Description: bacterial SSU rRNA
Rfam family: Bacterial small subunit ribosomal RNA
Source: RNAcentral
UGGGGAAUAUUGCGCAAUGGAGGAAACUCUGACGCAGCAACGCCGCGUGAGUGAAGAAGGUUUUCGGAUCGUAAAGCUCUGUCUUUGGGGACGAAUAAAAUGACGGUACCCAAGGAGGAAGCCCCGGCUAACUACGUGCCAGCAGCCGCGGUAAUACGUAGGGGGCAAGCGUUGUCCGGAAUUACUGGGCGUAAAGAGUACGUAGGCGGUUUGUUAAGUUAGAUGUGAAAGUUUGCAGCUCAACUGUAAAAGUGCAUUUAAAACUGGCAGACUUGAGUCUCGGAGAGGUAAGCGGAAUUCCUAGUGUAGCGGUGAAAUGCGUAGAGAUUAGGAAGAACACCGGUGGCGAAGGCGGCUUACUGGACGAGUACUGACGCUCAGGUACGAAAGCGUGGGGAGCAAACA